UGGAGAUGAUUGUGGACUACAGACAAACACUACCCAAAAGAGAAAGAGACUAUAUAUCUUAUUACAAUAACCAAAGUGCAAGAACCUCAGCAAAUUGAUUACUGGCUCGCCCAAGGAGAAAGAUCCCUUCUUUUGUGCUCCUCUUCGUUAUGGAAGGGGCUUGAUCAGGUUUUGGUGUCGUUGGGUUUCGAAUAAUCGUGCUAGCUAGACCAAUCGGAUAGUUGUGUUUUGAGUUGGUGAUCUGCUACAAGUAAAUCAAUCGUACCCGGGUUUAGAAGAUAAAUCAGGAGUGAGGGGGGAUUCAAUCUUCAGCGUCAGAGAUCUUUGGAAUUCUAAUUGGGUGACUGAGUUGGUUUUGGGUAGGCGAAGAACUUGGGUCCAGCAAGAGUUUAAAACAGAACAGUAGCUUCAGUGUCGGGGCUCCGAAGUUUGAAGUGAAGGGGUUUAGGGUAGUUAUGGCUCCAAAGAUGAGGUGGACAAGAAGUAAGAGAUUGUUAGAGGAGUAUGAAGAUGAAAAUCAUAAUGCUGAAAGGGAAGUCCAAGAAAUAUCUAAUGACCAGAAUGUAAUUGGUGGUAUAUCUGAAACUGGAACCGCAGUUUCUGGUAGGGAUGAAGACCAUCAAAUUCAUCCAAGAUCAAGGCGUGAAUGACUGUGAUAAAGAGGACUGAAGGUACAUAGAUUUUCAAAUUGCAAAAGCGUAUGGAAGGGCAAACAGUCCUUAUAGACCUUUAUGGCUGCAUCAAAGCAGUUGUACCACAUCAUGAGGUGUUCGUUAGAAGCAAAAACAAAAUGGAAACAAAAUGUGAAAUCACUUUGGAAAAUCUGAGUAGAGAAGAUGUGAAGAUAACUCUUUGGGGGGAUCCUGCAAGAGAGUUCGAUCUGGAUGCAAUUUACAAUUUGCCUCCACCAGUACUAGCAGUAUUUACUAGCUUGAGGAUUGCUCUAUUUCAACGUAACUAUAAAUUUGAAACAUUUAAUAAAAUUGUUACAAUUACUAUCUAUUUUAUAAUCAUUUUCUCUUCCAAUUUAUAGAACAACCAACUCCAUCGAGCACAAAUCACAGCUGCAUAAUCAUUGAUCCAGACAUUGGCCAAAGAGAAGACUACGAGGAAGAAUUCUCAAAAGCAGGGGAUAAGCGGAAGUUGCUACCAACUCCAUCCAAGCAACCACUCCACCAAGAAGCCAAAGAUCAUGCAAAAAAAAAAAACAGCGUCACGGCUCAAUACCGUUAAUCUGCAUGAAUACCAGGUACAAACAAGAUUUUUUUUUCCUCCAACUUUAUUGUUUUGCUUCAACAUGCUUUAUAAAUGCAGCUAUAUUUUAAGACUGUACACAUUGCAACAACAAGCGCUUUACUGCAAUGCAUGGAUUUGUAGAUUUCCUACAUACAACGGUUGGUGGUACAAAGGUUGCCUGACCUGCCGCAAGGAACUCAAGCAAAAAGAGGAUACUAAUCAGCUCAGCUGUAGUCGUCAUGACGUACAAACGCCUCUCCCAUGUUACAGAGUAUACAUGACAAUUGAGGAUGAUACAAACCAAGCAACAGUUGUGCUCAUGGGAAGACAGGCUGAACAGUUAUUUGGCAGCAAAUGUCAGGACUUGGUCAACAACAGCAUGUAUUCAACCAAACAAACAGUUCCAAAGGAAAUUCAGAGAACAAUUGGUGAAAACUACCUGACCCAGAAGAAGUGAUUGUCAGCAACAUUUUUCCGGCUACGCAAGUUUCCCUGCCAUCAACAGAAGAACCAGGAACUGCAACACCAGAUCGUCCCCUCACCCAAAAAAAAAAGAUCAAUUGAGGCAAGCAAAAGGACAUUAUUCAUUUCUGACCCAGAGAAGAAAAUCGGGAGGGAACCAGAACAAGGAAGCGCCACUUCAUCAUCACUGGAAAAAGAAGAACAUAACAAGGAAAACGAGCAGUAAACAUGCAUCACUCUUUUGUACAUGUGUAACUAACAAGUAGAAGCUGCAUUGACUACAAAUUUUGGUAUAACUGUAGUCAACUAAUCAACUGAAGCAUUUUGUACACUGGAAUAACCAAUUUUUGAAACAGCUUCCAGUAUAACCUUUUGUAAACAAACUUCAGUUGAUUCAGCAGCUAUACCUGAAUCAAUCUUAUGUUUUGAAGAUACAAUGCAGCUGCUGUUUUUGAAGUUGCAAUGCAGCUGCUGUGCUUAACAGUAUCUGUCAGUUACUCCUGCUAGGUUAAUGAAUGACAAAUUUGUAGAACUAGCAUUUUUGUAUUAGGUAUGAUUCAAUGUAAACAAUGUAAAACUAAAUAUAUAUCAAUAAUAUGUUAUAAUCUUUCUUUUCAUUCCAA
Molecule: RNA transcript, 2321 nt
Organism: Rosa rugosa (rugosa rose)
Lineage: Eukaryota; Viridiplantae; Streptophyta; Magnoliopsida; Rosales; Rosaceae
Exons: 11
Source: RefSeq, a predicted model, not a curated record